GUUUGAUCCUGGCUCAGGAUGAACGCUGGCGGCGUGCCUAAUACAUGCAAGUCGAACGCGCUGUGGCAAUUAUUGAGAAGCUUGCUUCAAUUUAAUUGCAAUGCAGCGAGUGGCGAACGGGUGAGUAACACGUGGGAAACCUACCUCUUAGCAGGGGAUAACAUUUGGAAACAGAUGCUAAUACCGUAUAAUAACUUUUACCGCAUGGUGAAAGUUUGAAAGAUGGUUCUGCUAUCACUAAGAGAUGGUCACGCGGUGUAUUAGCUAGAUGGUGAGGUAAUGGCUCACCAUGGCGAUGAUACAUAGCCGAGUUGAGAGACUGAUCGGCCACAUUGGAACUGAGACACGGUCCAAACUCCUACGGGAGGCAGCAGUAGGGAAUCUUCCACAAUGGACGAAAGUCUGAUGGAGCAACGCCGCGUGUGUGAUGAAGGGUUUCGGCUCGUAAAACACUGUUAUAAGAGAAGAACGUCAGUGAGAGUAACUGUUCAUUGAGUGACGGUAUCUUAUCAGAAAGGGACGGCUAAAUACGUGCCAGCAGCCGCGGUAAUACGUAUGUCCCAAGCGUUAUCCGGAUUUAUUGGGCGUAAAGCGAGCGCAGGCGGUUAUUUAAGUCUGAUGUGAAAGCCUACGG
Molecule: ribosomal RNA, 634 nt
Filed under: uncultured bacterium
Lineage: Bacteria
Description: bacterial SSU rRNA
Rfam family: Bacterial small subunit ribosomal RNA
Source: RNAcentral